This is a long non-coding RNA of Rosa rugosa (rugosa rose), 743 nucleotides long. RefSeq lists it as uncharacterized. The transcript is spliced from 4 exons. The record is from RefSeq and is a predicted model, not a curated record. NCBI's taxonomy places the organism in Eukaryota, Viridiplantae, Streptophyta, Magnoliopsida, Rosales, Rosaceae.
UUCUCUCUCGGCCGGACGAUACCGGAGUCCAGAUCUGAAGUCAGAUCAGCCUAGCCUCUUCUGACAGUAUGGGCAACGGUUGGUGUUUGCUGACCGGCGGGAUCUGCUGUGCUGCUCUUCGACGACGGGGCAGAUCUACUAUCCCCGGCUCUCUACCUCUGGUUCUCUCUCUCCGAAACCCCCAAGGGUUGCAAUAUGUUGGGCUAUUUAUCGCUUUUACUUCUGAAAAGUAGAUUGGAUUAGGCUAGGAGAUCUUGGUCGAUUUCAUCAGGUGAUGAGGGGAAGUCUAGUGCGCUUUGGAUCGGCAGUAAGGUUGAAGUUGGAGUGGUAGCGGAUUCGAUGGAAAGAGACCAAUUUCCCUCAACACAAUGGUUUCACUUCCAAUUCAGUGACCCCAUCAGAGGACAACAACAUAGCAUGGAGCACGGUAGAGAACUAGAGAUACUAGAGACCAGCUCGAGGGAGAGGGUCGAGAUUGAGCAGGUCUCAAAUCUUGAUUUUGAAGUUAUAAAAAAGGCUAUUGCAUCUGACUUCAUUCAUCUGUGGCAAGCUCUAACCAGGCAGAAAUAUGUGGUUCUAUAAAGGAAGUUGAAGCAAUAAUAUUGGAACAAGUACUACUAAAUUACUCAGGAUUUCCAUGUUUUAAAAUUCUAUGGAAUUAAUUCUACCUGAUAUAGAGGGGUUCUACUCCAUAUUGGGUUGCUUGGAGUUGAGUAGUUUUUGGGAGAGAAUGUAAUCCUCAG